ACCUAUAUGUUUUUUGAGUUGAAAGAAAUUUAAGGAAUGGCGAUGAUUAGAAUUUGCAAAUCUUAACUCUCUUAGUUGUUUCUUUACUAGUUGAGUUAUUGUAAAAAAUGAUUUGGAAAACAAUUUCAAAGGAGAAGAUGAUGCAGGACGCGAGGGGGAGAAAGGUUAGGCAUACCAAAGUAGACAAUUUAUGAGGGGUGAG
Molecule: long non-coding RNA, 202 nt
Filed under: Capsicum annuum
Lineage: Eukaryota; Viridiplantae; Streptophyta; Magnoliopsida; Solanales; Solanaceae
Description: long non-coding RNA (CANN_LNC003253)
Source: RNAcentral